GACGAACGCUGGCGGCGUGCCUAAUACAUGCAAGUAGAACGCUGAAGGAGGAGCUUGCUUCUCUGGAUGAGUUGCGAACGGGUGAGUAACGCGUAGGUAACCUGCCUGGUAGCGGGGGAUAACUAUUGGAAACGAUAGCUAAUACCGCAUAAGAGUAGAUGUUGCAUGACAUUUGCUUAAAAGGUGCAAUUGCAUCACUACCAGAUGGACCUGCGUUGUAUUAGCUAGUUGGUGGGGUAACGGCUCACCAAGGCGACGAUACAUAGCCGACCUGAGAGGGGGGUCGGCCACACUGGGACUGGGACACGGCCCAGACUCCUACGGGAGGCAGCAGUAGGGAAUCUUCGGCAAUGGACGGAAGUCUGACCGAGCAACGCCGCGUGAGUGAAGAAGGUUUUCGGAUCGUAAAGCUCUGUUGUAAGAGAAGAACGAGUGUGAGAGUGGAAAGUUCACACUGUGACGGUAUCUUACCAGAAAGGGACGGCUAACUACGUG
Molecule: ribosomal RNA, 495 nt
Filed under: uncultured bacterium
Lineage: Bacteria
Description: partial 16S ribosomal RNA
Rfam family: Bacterial small subunit ribosomal RNA
Source: RNAcentral